Molecule: long non-coding RNA, 1312 nt
Organism: Clupea harengus (Atlantic herring)
Lineage: Eukaryota; Metazoa; Chordata; Actinopteri; Clupeiformes; Clupeidae
Source: Ensembl
UAGGGGAAUUUUACUUAUUUUUCACAUAUAUAUGCUUGUAACCAAUUACUUUAAUAUAUACUUGUACUUGUACUCACUUAUCUAUCAUGCAAAUAUGCUAAUUAGAAUAUUACAUGGCCAAAACAUGUAUCAGGCACCAGUAUUCCUGGUCUAGGAGUAAACAAAGGAGUAAUGGUCAUUUUAAGGACCUGACGGCCGCCAUUUUGAAAAUAGGGCCUUUCUUGGAGUCAAACAUUGGUAAACUUUUAGUAUGUUUUUAAGUACAUCUGAUACUACUGUAAACCACUGACAAACCUUUUGUUAGAUUUUUUUUCAGGUCAAGUCAUAUUUGCAGCUGACUAAACUGAGCUUCCUGUCUUCCAAAGGAUGUCAGUUCUACACAAGGUAGAAAAAGGCACAGUUCGACCCUCCCUAUCACCACUGAGCUCACCCAUGGGAGAUUUGCCAAGCAAAAACCAAACCAUUUUGAACAGGUUGUGAGUUGUUACCACAAGUGUUUUUUAGGAAAAAUUUCUGAGGGGAACAUAAAAAUGUGCAUCUCCUGAAAACACUUGUGGUAACCCCUUAGAAAUUUCUUCUGAAAAACAGAUUGCAGUAACAACAAUGAACCUGUUCAAAAUGGUUUGGAAACCUAAAAGUCCAUAUGAUGACCUGAGUUUAAAAAAUGCUUUCUCUGGCUGGAAAUAUCGACACUAUUUUGUCUUCAAAGCUGAAAGUGGGAGGGAACAUAACAGUGCAGUGCACCUUAUGCCUCCCCGCGGUGAAAAUACUGUCGUUAUCUAAGGACUCAUUUAAUGAAGCAUUUACAGGUAACACCAACACUGCUAACGUGUACACAGACAUCCAGUCAGUUAAGCGACUAUCACUUAAACAACAUUCAAACAGCAUUUGUAAACUAUACUACUAGGCUAUACUACUCUGUAGAUCCACCCUAUAAUUUAUUCUUAAGACUUGGUUUCUUCAUGUUCUUUUCUAAGGUUACAUUGUGCUGUUACAAAAUACGCUUAAGUAAACGCCAUCUUAUUGAUGUCUCUUUUCUGUUGUCUUCAUUUUCAUUCAAAUUUGGCAUUGAGAUCAUCCAAAAGUAACGGAAAGUCAUCAAAUAUUGUGAUACUUGAAUAAGAUUACUGAAUAACAUUUUUAACAGGUAAUUAGUAAUUGUAACGGAAUACAUUUUUAAAGUAACCCUCCCAACCCUGUUCCUAUCUGAAUCCCCUCUGGACAGCGAUACAGGGCCAUCAUGACCAAAACAUCACGUCACCUCAACAUUUUUUUCCCCCAAGCAAUAGCCUUCCUAAAUAGCUCUUACACA